RNAcentral lists this long non-coding RNA (583 nucleotides) under Rattus norvegicus (Norway rat). RNAcentral describes it as "long non-coding RNA NONRATT013070". Lineage: Eukaryota; Metazoa; Chordata; Mammalia; Rodentia; Muridae. The record is from RNAcentral.
AUGAUGUUGUGUUUACUUCAAUCAACUGUUGAUGAUUUUAAGUGGUGAAGAGCACCUCAGGACUGCAUUUCCAGAUGUCCAUGCUGUUGUUGUUUCCAGACAGAGAGAUUGGCAAGCAAUGCAUUGAGUUUUCUGCUGAUCACGUAAGGCUGUGUCCUCUUGUUCCUCUCUAGGCUGCACUAAGUGCUACAGACAUGGCCUUGGCCCUCAAUCGGUACCUCUGCACAGCUGUCCUGCCUUUGUUAACGAGAUGUGCUCCCCUGUUUGCUGGAACAGAGCACCAUGCUUCCCUCAUUGACUCUCUGCUACACACUGUAUAUAGACUCUCUAAGGGAUGUUCCCUCACCAAAGCUCAGCGGGACUCCAUAGAAGUGUGCCUGCUCUCUAUAUGUGGGUAAGUGGGUGACCAUUUGAGCCAAUUUUCUCCGUGGCAUGGUCCUUUGAGAUUAACAUGAAAAUCUUGAGUCAUUUAUAUAUCCAAAAUUAAAUUUAUUGUCCGAUAUGUGAAUGUGUGAGUCUUGAGGUUUGCCUUGUUCCAACAGCCAACUGCGACCUUCUAUGAUGCAGCACCUACUCCGAAGGC